Molecule: long non-coding RNA, 1528 nt
Filed under: Physcomitrium patens
Lineage: Eukaryota; Viridiplantae; Streptophyta; Bryopsida; Funariales; Funariaceae
Description: long non-coding RNA (PPAT_LNC001138)
Source: RNAcentral
CUCUCCCUCACUCUCUCGGUCUGGUUCCUUACUUCUUAUUUCGAGUUUUGUAAGGCGUGUAUUGUGUGGAAGCAGCAAUCAGAAUUUUAUCAGGUUAAUUUAGGUGCAAGUUGUGUAGUGUCUUAAUCCUGCUGGUAUCCCAAAUCUUUUCCGGGUUUUUUGUUCUUGUAAUUCGAUGCAUGAUGUCUAAUUCUUGGUCGUCGUGGGAUGGCAGCUAUACUCUGGAUUGCUGCACAAAAUGGAGGUCAGCACCUUUUUUUUUCGUUUUUUGAAUUUUCGUUUCAUUUGUUCUAGAUAAGUGCCUCCUUGUAUCCGAACAGAUUGCAUGUGUACAAAUGCGGUUCAUCCUUCAUAAUGUGAAGAUUAUCUUAUUCAGAGCUCUAGAAAUAAGCAGGUGUUGGUUUCAUAUGUACAGGCGGAGAUGAAGCAAAUGGCAGAGGAAAUGAAAACAAAGGAUGAGGAAGUGAACAGAUUGCUGCAAGAGAACAAGGAGUACCAGUCAACCGUGAAAGUGCUGAAGAAUGAGUUGGAUCUCAAUAGGCGCUCUGACAAGGAGAUGCUGUUGCGGCUUGAAACUCAGAAGAAAGAAAUCGAGCACGAGUAUCAGGAAACGAUCCACUCUCUUGAGUCUGAACUUCAAAAUUCUUACGAGAAGUUGAAGAACUUAGAAGCCAAUGCAGAAAGGGAAAUGAGUAAUCUGAAACUGAAGGAUACUCAGUAUCAAAAUUUCCUCUCAAGUCAGCUCCUUGAAUACAAGGUACACAAUGGGUCUGUUAGCUUCUAUCCCAAGAACUGCAAAUACACUAAAUGUUUUGAGCUUUCGCUUCUGCUCUUUUCUGAGGGCAAGAUACAAAGUCACAUUAUUGACCGCUCAUUAAACAAUUGAUUGUCUGCAGGAUCUCAGGUUGUCCCAACUCGACACGAGGAACGAGUUUUUGAGAAUGCAGACAGAGUGGAAUGAUCAGUUCAGUAUGCUUGGUGAGUGGCAAUAUACCUUUCCAAUUUAUGUAGAUGUCCUUGUUUGCUUUUGAUUGACCUCUUUUUGCUUACAUGAAUCCUUCUCCCUUGCUUGUGCAGAAGAACAGCUUCAGAGUAUGGCUCGAGCAGCAUCUGGAUACCACAAGGUGCUUGCUGAGAAUCGAAUACUGUACAAUGAAGUGCAAGAUUUGAAAGGUUCAUUUCUAACCAAGGCUCUAUAGUGGUUAAUUUUCCCGCCUAACUUGAGUACGAUUGUCUAUUUGAAAGACAUUGGUAGACUUCCUUUUACUCAUUUAGAACGCUUUUGCGCGUGUGUGUUUUCGUAUUUUUUGAUAGUGUGGAAGCGCGGUGAUGACAGAUCUGUACUUUUCAAUCUUUUUCAAAUUUUUAUGGGAAAGAGUUAACCUCUUUGACCUGAAGUAAAGCUUGGCCUCUUAUCUGUUGAGUACUGUGUAAGAGGAUAAAUUUGUUUAGCUGACAUCAAGCUUUCCCCUUCUCCUGCUGCAAAGAUUCCGAUGAUGGGUCCUAUCCGUUGUAACCUUGUGUCUGC